AGAGUUUGAUCCUGGCUCAGGACGAACGCUGGCGGCACGCUUAACACAUGCAAGUCGAACGAGAGAAGAGGAGCUUGCUUUUCUGAUCUAGUGGCGGACGGGUGAGUAACACGUGAGCAAUCUGCCUUUCAGAGGGGGAUACCGAUUGGAAACGAUCGUUAAUACCGCAUAACAUAAUUGAACCGCAUGAUUUGAUUAUCAAAGAUUUAUCGCUGAAAGAUGAGCUCGCGUCUGAUUAGCUAGUUGGUAAGGUAACGGCUUACCAAGGCGACGAUCAGUAGCCGGACUGAGAGGUUGAUCGGCCACAUUGGGACUGAGACACGGCCCAGACUCCUACGGGAGGCAGCAGUGGGGAAUACUGCACAAUGGAGGAAACUCUGAUGCAGCGAUGCCGCGUGAGGGAAGAAGGUUUUAGGAUUGUAAACCUCUGUCUUCAGGGACGAAAAAAGACGGUACCUGAGGAGGAAGCUCCGGCUAACUACGUGCCAGCAGCCGCGGUAAUACGUAGGGAGCGAGCGUUGUCCGGAAUUACUGGGUGUAAAGGGAGCGUAGGCGGGAUCGCAAGUCAGAUGUGAAAACUAUGGGCUUAACCCAUAAACUGCAUUUGAAACUGUGGUUCUUGAGUGAAGUAGAGGUAAGCGGAAUUCCUAGUGUAGCGGUGAAAUGCGUAGAUAUUAGGAGGAACAUCAGUGGCGAAGGCGGCUUACUGGGCUUUAACUGACGCUGAGGCUCGAAAGCGUGGGGAGCAAACAGGAUUAGAUACCCUGGUAGUCCACGCCGUAAACGAUGAUUACUAGGUGUGGGGGGACUGACCCCUUCCGUGCCGCAGCAAACGCAAUAAGUAAUCCACCUGGGGAGUACGACCGCAAGGUUGAAACUCAAAGGAAUUGACGGGGGCCCGCACAAGCAGUGGAGUAUGUGGAUUAAUUCGAAGCAACGCGAAGAACCUUACCAGGUCUUGACAUCGUAUGCAUAGCUCAGAGAUGAGUGAAAUCUCUUCGGAGACAUAUAGACAGGUGGUGCAUGGUUGUCGUCAGCUCGUGUCGUGAGAUGUUGGGUUAAGUCCCGCAACGAGCGCAACCCUUACUGUUAGUUGCUACGCAAGAGCACUCUAGCAGGACUGCCGUUGACAAAACGGAGGAAGGUGGGGAUGACGUCAAAUCAUCAUGCCCCUUAUGACCUGGGCCUCACACGUACUACAAUGGCUGUCAACAGAGGGAAGCAAAGCCGCGAGGUGGAGCGAACCCCUAAAAGCAGUCUUAGUUCGGAUUGUAGGCUGCAACCCGCCUACAUGAAGUCGGAAUUGCUAGUAAUCGCAGAUCAGCAUGCUGCGGUGAAUACGUUCCCGGGCCUUGUACACACCGCCCGUCACGCCAUGGGAGUCGGUAACACCCGAAGCCUGUAGUCUAACCGCAAGGAGGACGCAGUCGAAGGUGGGAUUGAUGACUGGGGUGAAGUCGGAACAAGGUA
RNAcentral lists this ribosomal RNA (1470 nucleotides) under metagenome. RNAcentral's name for it is "bacterial SSU rRNA". It matches the Rfam family "Bacterial small subunit ribosomal RNA". The record is from RNAcentral.